Molecule: ribosomal RNA, 907 nt
Filed under: uncultured bacterium
Lineage: Bacteria
Description: bacterial SSU rRNA
Rfam family: Bacterial small subunit ribosomal RNA
Source: RNAcentral
UCCUGGCUCAGAACGAACGCUGGCGGCGUGCCUAACACAUGCAAGUCGAGCGCGAAUGGAGCAAUCCUAGUAGAGCGGCGCACGGGUGCGUAACACGUGGAUAAUCUGCCUGGGUGUCUGGGAUAACCAGUCGAAAGAUUGGCUAAUACCGGAUAAGCCCCCGGGAGCUUCGGCUCUUGAGGGAAAAGGUGGCCUCUGUAUACAAGCUAUCACAUCCAGAUGAGUCCGCGGCCCAUCAGCUAGUUGGCGGGGUAAUGGCCCACCAAGGCAACGACGGGUAGCUGGUCUGAGAGGACGAUCAGCCACACUGGAACUGAGACACGGUCCAGACUCCUACGGGAGGCAGCAGUGGGGAAUUUUGCGCAAUGGGCGAAAGCCUGACGCAGCAACGCCGCGUGUGUGAUGAAGGUCUUUGGAUUGUAAAGCACUUUCGACCGGGACGAAAACCCGUUGGCUAACAUCCAACGGCUUGACGGUACCGGGAGAAGAAGCACCGGCUAACUCUGUGCCAGCAGCCGCGGUAAUACAGAGGGUGCAAGCGUUGUUCGGAAUUAUUGGGCGUAAAGCGCGUGUAGGCGGCUUUGCAAGUCGGAUGUGAAAGCCCUCGGCUCAACCGAGGAAGUGCGUUCGAAACUGCAGAGCUUGAGUACCGGAGAGGGUGGCGGAAUUCCCCAAGUAGAGGUGAAAUUCGUAGAUAUGGGGAGGAACACCGGUGGCGAAGGCGGCCACCUGGACGGUCACUGACGCUGAGACGCGAAAGCGUGGGUAGCAAACAGGAUUAGAUACCCUGGUAGUCCACGCCGUAAACGAUGAGAACUAGGUGUCGUGGGUGUUGACCCCCGCGGUGCCGUAGCUAACGCAUUAAGUUCUCCGCCUGGGAAGUACGGUCGCAAGACUAAAACUCAAA